CACUGUUCAUGUAUCGCAGGGUACAAUUACAUUUAUUUACAUUUAACCAGUUUAAUAUGAAGAGACAGUGAAAUGUAGACCUUCGUUUAUGUGUUUUUGCCAUACACUGUACAAGACGCGAGAGCAGUCCGCUAUUUAGGCACACCGUGGCUGCAAUGAUCGGAUGGGGGAGUAGAGUGGAGUAUCGGGAGUAUACCCCGGCCUACAGAGCCUCCAUCAGAUUCACCAGAUUUACUGAUUCUGCGAAAGAAGCAGGCUGCCAGAAUCACACCCAGAAUGACAACAGCGGCUAUCACAGAUGAGCAACCAUGCCUGAGGAUUUGUUUAAUAUUUUAUUAGAAAUGAAACUUGCCAUGAAUUUAAUUUUUGCAAAGGAAAGAGGAUAAUAAAAAAGAUAAAC
Cyprinus carpio (common carp) is the source of this 400-nucleotide long non-coding RNA. RefSeq lists it as uncharacterized. The transcript has 3 exons. The record is from RefSeq and is a predicted model, not a curated record. NCBI's taxonomy places the organism in Eukaryota, Metazoa, Chordata, Actinopteri, Cypriniformes, Cyprinidae.